CUCGGUGGGAGCCACUAAAGAGAAUAAGAGGUUCUCCUGCUGUAUCCUGACUUUCUGAGGCUCUGACCUCAGGAAAGCCUGGCAUGAGAGCCUUUUCCAUUGCUGCAGACUUUUUGGUUCAGCACUCACUUCUGGCACCUCUGGUCAUUUGGCAGGAAGUACCCAAAGUGAUGGCCAGGCAGGGCCCUAAUGUCUGAUGAUCUGACUGCAGGGCAUCAUUUUUGCAGAGCUCCAUGUGGGAGAUCAGUGAGGAACUAGUUGAUGGGUUCAACUCCUCCAUCUUCCUAGACAAGGGUUGUCUGCUCAUGUUCUUGUUGCUGUGACAACCCUUCUCGCACCCUGGAACCUCCAGGCAUUUGCCCCUUUGCUGGAUCUGGGAUCCUCAAAGCUCAGGUUCUCAAAACUGCCUUUAUUGUAAAAGAAAGAAAAUUAAGUGCCUUGCUUUGAAGUCUAAAGGACUCUCCUAGGGUGGGUGUUGUAGUCUAUUUUGUGCUGCUGCAACAAAACACCAUAGACUGGGCAAUUUAUAAUGUACAGCAAUUUAUUUCUUACAGUUCUGGAGGCUAGGAAGUCCACAGUCAAGAUGCUGGCAUCUGGUGAGGGCCUUCUUGCUGCAUCAUCCCAUGGCAGAAGGCAUCACAUGGCAGAAGGGCAAAGAGAGGGUGAGAGAGAGCAAGAGGGGGCAGACCCACCUCCACGAUACUGACGUUAAUCCACCCAGGAUGGCAGAGCUCUCAUGACCUAAACACCUCUUAAAGGUCCCAUCUCCCAGUAUGGUCACAAUGGCAACUACACUUCAACAUGAAUUUUAGAGAACACAAACAUGCACACCAUAGCAGUGGGUCUACACUGAAAACUGGUCUCUCAACUUGGUGGGGGCAGUGGGGUGGGGAAUGAGGUUCCCUCAGAUCUUCUCCCUCCAUGCCAGAAGCAGACUAAGCUUCAGGUAGCUUAGUGGGAAGGUGAUGCAGCCCUAGCUUUGGGCAGUUCUUAGUCCUGCCCUGUGUGACCUUGAGCAGCCAUUUGACAUCCCUAAGCCUGCGUUUUCUCGUCUCAACAAUGGGGAUGUUUUCUUAGGACUCACUAGAGUGAUGCUCUUCAUACAAGCUCUUAAUAGGGGAAUGCUAACCUCUCUUGCUGUGGGCACUCACAUCCCUCUUCACACACAAGUCCCCAAGGAAUUGGGGCUUCCUGGUCUGAGCUGUAGCCCACGAUUCUCCUGGUGGUUUUUGGUGCUGCCUCUAACUCUGUGUCCUUCCUUGUCCCACUCAGUAUGAAAAUGAGUUAACCCUGUACCUGGGCAAGAUCUGCAAAAUGUGGACCCUCCUCCAGGUGGGCACUCAGGAGCAUAUGGUGGCAUCCCUGGACCAGGCUUCCAGAGCAGACACAUACCCUACAGCACCACCUUCCUGUGUAACCACUGGGUCUUCGUCUCUACCCCACAGUUCCUGGACUGGGUAUUCAAUAGGUGGGAGCCUGUCCCUUCCACAGCACAGUGGGGACUCUGCCACCAGUUAGCUGUGUGUCUCAGGAAUUUUGCUGCACCUCUCUGAGCCUCAGUUUGCUCCUCUGAGAAUAAAGGUGAUACACAUGCAUCCUGCCGUGUUUUAACAGGGAGGAGAGACCUCAGGAUCAACUAAAAAUGUCAGUGGACUUCAGGUCUAGGAUGGGUUCCUGUUUCCCCAGAACAGUUGGGGGCAUAUAGGAGCCUGUGGCUGGGGAGGGGCUGGCAGAACCCUGGAUCUCAUACAUCUUAGGAUUCCCAUGAGAGGGCUGAGGUCUGGGGGCUUCCUCUGCAGGAGGAAAUUAGUCAGUGAGAGUUAUGAAUGGGAUCCAAGUCCCCUGGGAAGUGAAAGGGAGGCUGGGGGUCAGAGCCAUCCCCACCACAGUCCCAUCUCAGCUCUGCCCGCCUCCUUUCACAUCCACCCCUCCAGACCCAACCUCUAGGGGAUCCAGAACAGGAGCUGUAGUGAGCAUUUUGCUCACAUUUCUACCUCAAACCUCAUUUCUGAGCAUCCUGGUGCAGGUAGCCCUUCAGAGCAAGAGUCACUGGCAAGACCUGGCCCAUGCAGGUUCUGUGCCUGCCCUGCCUGAAGACCAGGGCUGUCUCUGCCAGAACAGUCACAGAGGGGUUGGGUGGGGCCAUCUCUGGACAGGCAGGGCAGCCACAGGGGUCCACAUCUAAACAAGGGUACCCUAGAAGAACAAUGUGGAAGGAAAGGCCAGGCAUCUGACUCUGCUGCCCCCCACCCCCCACCCCCUACACUCUCUCUUCCAUCUUGGGCACCUGGCCAGAAAAGUACCCUGAGGGCACUCCGGGGAAGAAGCCUGCUCCAGUGACAGCCUGACAUAGAGUCAGUCCAGAGCCCUCCUGCCCCUAGUCUGGGACCAUACAGAACUGGCCCGGUGAGGAGGUCCCCAACCUCUUGGGGGGGUUCCCUCCUAUGCUGGUGGCAAAGCAAUGGACUCUGAUGGAUGCAAUGAGUGCUAGGCUCUCAAGGCAGAGUGGGGACAACCUCCCCUCUGGGACCUUUCCCUGAACCUCAGUUGGAUGAUAUGGGCCCAAUCCCAGCUCCACCUCUUACCAACCAUGUGACCUGGACUAGAUUCUUAACCUCCAGGCCUUCACUGUUCACAUGUGCAGGGCAGAAAUGGGACAUAACAGCACCUGCUGCACACAGUGACUGCAGAAUGAGAGCAGAGAGGGAAGGCAGGGCAGGGCCUGGCCCCUUUGUAGGUGGAGAGUGCUCACUGAGGAGCACCCAGGUGCAUGGGU
This is a long non-coding RNA of Rhinopithecus roxellana (golden snub-nosed monkey), 2776 nucleotides long. RefSeq lists it as uncharacterized. The record is from RefSeq and is a predicted model, not a curated record. Lineage: Eukaryota; Metazoa; Chordata; Mammalia; Primates; Cercopithecidae. The transcript is spliced from 4 exons.